Molecule: ribosomal RNA, 520 nt
Filed under: uncultured Glomus
Lineage: Eukaryota; Fungi; Glomeromycota; Glomeromycetes; Glomerales; Glomeraceae
Description: SSU rRNA
Rfam family: Eukaryotic small subunit ribosomal RNA
Source: RNAcentral
AGCAGCCGCGGUAAUUCCAGCUCCAAUAGCGUAUAUUAAAGUUGUUGCAGUUAAAAAGCUCGUAGUUGAAUUUCGGGGUUAGUAGGUUGGUCAUGCCUCUGGUAUGUACUGGUCUCACUGAUUCCUCCUUCCUGAUGAGCCGUAAUGCCAUUAAUUUGGUGUUGCGGGGAAUUUGGACUGUUACUUUGAAAAAAUUAGAGUGUUUAAAGCAAGCUAACGCUUGAAUACAUUAGCAUGGAAUAAUGAAAUAGGACGUUCGAUCCUAUUUUGUUGGUUUCUAGGAUUGACGUAAUGAUUAAUAGGGAUAGUUGGGGGCAUUAGUAUUCAAUUGUCAGAGGUGAAAUUCUUGGAUUUAUUGAAGACUAACUACUGCGAAAGCAUUUGCCAAGGAUGUUUUCAUUAAUCAAGAACGAAAGUUAGGGGAUCGAAGACGAUCAGAUACCGUCGUAGUCUUAACUAUAAACUAUGCCGACUAGGGAUCGGAUGAUGUUAAUUUUUAAUGACUCAUUCGGCGCCUUAA